CGCCCAAUAGUCUAAUGGUACGACAUCGCCAAGCUCUACAUUGUGCACAGGCGAAGAUGGAGAGUUCGAUUCUUUCUUGGGCUU
This is a non-coding RNA of Roridomyces roridus, 84 nucleotides long. The record is from the annotation of a GenBank genome assembly. NCBI's taxonomy places the organism in Eukaryota, Fungi, Basidiomycota, Agaricomycetes, Agaricales, Mycenaceae.